This 448-nucleotide ribosomal RNA is filed under the name uncultured prokaryote. Its description in RNAcentral is "bacterial SSU rRNA". It matches the Rfam family "Bacterial small subunit ribosomal RNA", at positions 355 to 796 of the family's 1533-position model. The record is from RNAcentral.
UCUCGAAUCUUUCACAAUGGGCGCAAGCCUGAUGGAGCAACGCCGCGUGGGGGACGAAUGUCUUCGGAUUGUAAACCCCUGUCACCAAGGAUAAACCGUAGUCGGUUAAUACCCGGCUGCCUGAUGUAACUUGGAGAGGAAGAGGUGGCUAACUCUGUGCCAGCAGCCGCGGUAAUACAGAGACCUCAAGCGUUAUUCGGAUUUACUGGGCGUAAAGGGUGCGCAGGCGGCCAGGUGUGUCUAGGGUGAAAUUUUGCGGCUUAACCGUAAAACUGCCUUAGAAACUACCUGGCUAGAGUAUCGGAGAGGUAAGCGGAAUUCCUGGUGUAGCAGUGAAAUGCGUAGAUAUCAGGAGGAACACCAAUGGCGAAGGCAGCUUACUGGACGAUUACUGACGCUCAGGCACGAAAGCAUGGGUAGCGAAAGGGAUUAGAUACCCCCGUAGUCC